Molecule: long non-coding RNA, 590 nt
Filed under: Monodelphis domestica (gray short-tailed opossum)
Lineage: Eukaryota; Metazoa; Chordata; Mammalia; Didelphimorphia; Didelphidae
Description: lncRNA (ENSMODG00000031728.2)
Source: RNAcentral
AGAGACUUUGUCAUGAGAAGAGCCAUGAAAGAAGGCUUCAGAAAGAAAGCUAUCUAGGUCUGGAUCUUCAUUUUUGAGUUGAUGGUGCUCUUUGAAAAGACAUCCGAUUCCUCUUCCUAGAGAGAGACAAGAGAGGACUUCUUGGGGAGAUAGUCUAAGAAAAGGGAAGCUCAUCCACCAAGAAUAGAGCAUCAUUGCCAUUUGCUAAAGGAUGAGAAUUUCAGGGAGAGAAGCUGCCAAUUAUAGAUAGGGGGAGUAAAGACAGAAAUAUCUUCUGAGAACAGCUGGGAAUGAAGAGCCAGGAAGGGAGAUCCCAGAUAGGAUGGACUAACUUUUAAGGACUCUUCCUGGAGCCCUACCCAAGACUAUUGCUAAGUGAUGGACUCUAAAAUAAAGAUUACUUGGUGGCUAUGAUUGUUUUACUUUGGAUACGAAUAUCAACUUUAUUAACUGGUGCAGGAAGUAGAGUUGCCGACCUAGAAGCUUGAACCAUGGAGACAUUGGGGUCCAUGGUUCUAGGUCUGAUAUUGUUGCCAGGCCAUCAGGGAAGCACUGAGAAGCUAGAGUCCAGCCCACUGUCACAGUUGUAG